AUUGAACGCUGGCGGAAUGCUUUACACAUGCAAGUCGAACGGCAGCACGGGGGCAACCCUGGUGGCGAGUGGCGAACGGGUGAGUAAUACAUCGGAACGUGCCCGGUCGUGGGGGAUAACGUAGCGAAAGUUACGCUAAUACCGCAUACGAUCUGAGGAUGAAAGCGGGGGACCUUCGGGCCUCGCGCGAUCGGAGCGGCCGAUGUCAGAUUAGGUAGUUGGUGGGGUAAAGGCCUACCAAGCCGACGAUCUGUAGCUGGUCUGAGAGGACGACCAGCCACACUGGGACUGAGACACGGCCCAGACUCCUACGGGAGGCAGCAGUGGGGAAUUUUGGACAAUGGGCGCAAGCCUGAUCCAGCCAUUCCGCGUGCAGGACGAAGGCCUUCGGGUUGUAAACUGCUUUUGUAUGGAACGAAAAGGCUCUGGCUAAUACCUGGGGCUCAUGACGGUACCGUAAGAAUAAGCACCGGCUAACAACGUG
RNAcentral lists this ribosomal RNA (484 nucleotides) under uncultured bacterium. Its description in RNAcentral is "partial 16S ribosomal RNA". It matches the Rfam family "Bacterial small subunit ribosomal RNA", at positions 30 to 507 of the family's 1533-position model. The record is from RNAcentral.